AUGGUGUCCACCUCAGACAGUGUUUUGAGUAUAAUAUGUGUGAAAAACAGUAGAGACAACAAAAUGAAAAACAUAAGCAUCUUGUCUUAGAGCGCAUAGGAUCAUAUUAUAAUUGUGAAAUAUUUUCAUGCAAACAUCUUACCUGAAGAUUACUGAAAAUUAUUCUUCUCGGCUUCACUGAUCUGCAGGAUUGUGGUGUGAGUUCAGAUUUCUAGACUGGGGUGAGUGCUGGGUGAUUGUGGAUACUUUGUACAAAUCAUGUCUCCAGCCUGUGACAAGAGAUUGUGUCCACUCCAGGGGGUUUACUGCCUCAGCACUGGCUCCUGUUACCAACUGUCCAUUUCUGUCUGCCAAAGACACAGAGGACAACCAAAGCACAGAAAAUAAAUGGUCAGCAGCACAUAGCAGCAUAAUACAUGGGCUCUUGAAACUGGCACCACUUGCUAACCAGAGAAGAAAUUCCAUCUCUUCAUUGUAAAGAGAGGAAAGGCCGUGGUUUAGGAAUAUCAGAAGGAAAACUAACUACCAGGCUUAAAAGUAGCCAGAGGAACAAGCACUUCUAGCUGAAUAUGCCAUCUUGGUUGUACAUACCCCAACGGAGCCAUCAGCAGCAAGGACA
Molecule: long non-coding RNA, 619 nt
Organism: Pezoporus flaviventris
Lineage: Eukaryota; Metazoa; Chordata; Aves; Psittaciformes; Psittacidae
Exons: 3
Source: RefSeq, a predicted model, not a curated record